RNAcentral lists this ribosomal RNA (277 nucleotides) under uncultured bacterium. RNAcentral's name for it is "partial 16S ribosomal RNA". It matches the Rfam family "Bacterial small subunit ribosomal RNA", at positions 44 to 334 of the family's 1533-position model. The record is from RNAcentral.
GUGCUUAACACAUGCAAGUCGAGUGCGCGCCCGUAGCAAUACGGGUGGCGCACGGCGCACGGGUGCGUAACACGUGGGUACCUGCCCUUUGAUGGGGAAUAACCCCGCGAAAGCGGGGCUAAUACCGCAUAAGAUCCGCAAGGAUGAAAGCCGAAAGGCGUCGAAGGAGGGGCCUGCGCACGAUUAGCUAGUUGGUAGGGUAACGGCCUACCAAGGCUUUGAUCGUUAGCUGGUCUGAGAGGAUGGCCAGCCACACUGGAACUGAGACACGGUCCAG